GAGUUUGAUGAUGGCUCUGAAUGAACGCUAUCCAAAUGCUUGACACAUGCUAAUCGUACGUCAAUUAUGCUUUGCUUAGAUUGAAGUGGUGUACAGGUGAGUAUAAUAUAAAUUAUACCUUAAAGCAAGGGAAAAUAAAAUCCCUUAUAAAUAAUAAAGAUAUCUAUAUCGCUUUAAGAAGUUUAUAUUUCGAGUGGCAUUAGCUGCAAGAUAGAGUUGCAGCUAGCAUAAUGCUCGUAACCAAGACUGAGAGGUCAAUUGGUCACAGUGUGGCAUGAAAAAGCCCACGGUUAACUACAGCAGUGAGGAAUAUUGGUCAAUGGCCUAACGGCUGAACCAGCAACUUGGAGGAAUGUAUAGAGAAAGCUGGUAAAAUGCGAUGUAUCUAGUAGUAUUAGUAAUUAAUAUGAUAUUAACUAAGUUAAUUAAAAUUCAAUGUAGAUAUCUGAUAAUGACAGUAUUUGCUUAUGUCUUGACCAAAUCACGUGCCAGCAGUCGCGGUAAGACGUGGAAGAUAAGUGUUAUUCAUGUUUAACAGGUUUAAAGGGUACCUAGACGGUUAAUUAAACACUCUAAUGUAUUAAUUACCUAGAGUUUGAUAUAAGAAGGAUUGAGUACGGUGAGUGUAGAGAUAAAAUUUUAUUAGACCACUAUGGAACUGGUAAAGGCGAAGGCAACCUUCUAUGUAAAAACUGACGUUAAGGGACGAAGGCUCGUUAUAAAAAACAGGAUUAGAUACCCUGGUAUUUUGGGCAGACAAUGAUGAGUGUCAUAUGCAAGAGAAAUUUUUGUGUAUAAAUGAAAGUGUAAGCACUCCACCUCAAGAGUAACAUGGCAACAUGGGAACUGAAAUCAUUAGACCGUUUCUGAAACUCGUAGUGAAGUAUGUUGUUUAAUUUGAUAACCCACAAAUAACCUUACCAUAACUUGAAUUACUUUAGUUUACUUAAGUAACAAGCGUUGCACGGCUGUCUCCAGUCAAUGUUGUGAAACUGUGGUUAGAUCCAUUGAAUUGACGUAAACCCUCACUCUACUUACUGUAGAGUGGUUCGCCGCUAUAUUGGUAGUGAUAUAUGGGACUAAGACAAGUCAUCAUGACCUGAACGUUAUGGGCUAUAGACGUGCCGCAUUGCCUUAACAAAAAGAUGCAAAAUUGCGAAAUUUAGCUAAUCUAGAAAAAAGGAAUUAAUACGGAUUGUAGUCUGAAAUUUGACUGCAUGAAAAAGGAAUUACGAGUAAUCGUGUAUCAUUAUGGCACGGUGGACAUUACCUCAGUUAGGUACUAACCACUCGUCAGGCGCUGAAAGGAGGGUGCGCAAUAAGUUUGAUUCCUAUAUUUUUAUAAUUUAAAUAAAUAUUUUUAAAAUACUAAUGUUAGGAGUUUUCGUAUGCGUGUCUCUAAUUGGUGUUAAGUCGAAAUAAGGUUCGUGUAGUGGAAAUUGC
Molecule: ribosomal RNA, 1443 nt
Filed under: Nadvornikia sorediata
Lineage: Eukaryota; Fungi; Ascomycota; Lecanoromycetes; Ostropales; Graphidaceae
Description: SSU rRNA
Rfam family: Bacterial small subunit ribosomal RNA
Source: RNAcentral